GUAGCAGAAUAGUUUGUUCUUUAAUUGGGAGUUGGUAUGAAGGGUUGAACAAAAAGUAUCUUUUAUAUUAAAUUAAGUAAAUUAAAUUUUAAGUUAAAAUGCUUAAAUAGUAUAAAGGGACGAUAAGACCCUAAAAGCUUAAUGUAUUUUUGAUUAUAUUAUAAUAUAUUGUAAAAUUAUAAAAAAAAUAGAAUUAGCUGGGGAAGUGAUUUUGUGGAAUUAAAAUAGGAGGGAAUUAAUGUUAAGAUUUAAGGUCUUUAAAAUAAGAAUUAAUGGAGGAAGUUACUUUAGGGAUAACAGCGCAAUGAUCUUGGAGAGUUCUUAUUUAUAAAAUUAUGUGCGACCUCGAUGUUGAAUUAAAAAGUCUUAGGGGAGCAGAGAAUCUGUAAGAGGGUUUGUUCAACCUUUAAAUUUUU
RNAcentral lists this ribosomal RNA (416 nucleotides) under Pseudocrangonyx sp. 5 KT-2016. RNAcentral describes it as "partial 16S ribosomal RNA". Lineage: Eukaryota; Metazoa; Arthropoda; Malacostraca; Amphipoda; Pseudocrangonyctidae. The record is from RNAcentral.